AGGGUUCGAUUCUGGCUCAGGAUGAACGCUGGCGGCGUGCCUAACACAUGCAAGUCGAGCGGACCUGAUUAAGUGAUUAGCUUACUAAGAACUUAUGACUGGUUAGCGGCGGACGGGUGAGUGACGCGUGGGUAACCUGCCUCAUACAGGGGGAUAGCAGUUGGAAACGACUGGUAAUACCGCAUAAGCGCACAGUACCGCAUGGUACGGUGUGAAAAAACUCCGGUGGUAUGAGAUGGACCCGCGUCCGAUUAGCCAGUUGGCGGGGUAACGGCCCACCAAAGCGACGAUCGGUAGCCGGCCUGAGAGGGCGGACGGCCACAUUGGGACUGAGACACGGCCCAGACUCCUACGGGAGGCAGCAGUGGGGGAUAUUGCACAAUGGAGGAAACUCUGAUGCCAGCGACGCCGCGUGGGUGAAGAAGUAUUUCGGUAUGUAAAGCCCUAUCAGCAGGGACGAUAAUGACGGUACCUGACUAAGAAGCCCCGGCUAACUACGUGCCAGCAGCCGC
This 512-nucleotide ribosomal RNA is filed under the name uncultured bacterium. Its description in RNAcentral is "bacterial SSU rRNA". It matches the Rfam family "Bacterial small subunit ribosomal RNA", at positions 8 to 518 of the family's 1533-position model. The record is from RNAcentral.